UGAGAGAAAGAAGCAACCAGACUUUGCUUGAGCGAAAGGUCGGAUGAGCGAGGCCACCGCGGCUUUGAAGCUUGUUCCUCCACUCUCAAGAGCGGUUCUGCGAGGACAGAGAGCACAGAAGGCCACAACAGGUUGCUCACACAUCCCCCCUGUAGCAGAGCUUCUCUGCGACACAGACAGAGGCCUGACCUCCAAGUUUUUUUUUGUUUUUUUUUUCCACCGCAUCUUCUUUAUUCUCUUCCCUCCUCUGCUGUUCAUUCCUCCCCUGCCUCCCUCCCCUCUGCCAGCCAAGUCUUGGAUCAAUGCACCAUUGAUUUUCCUAUCAAUGAACGUUAGUAUUGGAUCAGACUGCUGCUUGCUCUGUCCUGCCCUGUAACCUCCAUACAUGCAUAAAAAGGGAAAUAAUUUGAUUUUGUUGCAGCCUUGCUAAAAAAAA
Long non-coding RNA from Oryzias melastigma (Indian medaka), 436 nucleotides. RefSeq lists it as uncharacterized. The transcript is spliced from 2 exons. The record is from RefSeq and is a predicted model, not a curated record. NCBI's taxonomy places the organism in Eukaryota, Metazoa, Chordata, Actinopteri, Beloniformes, Adrianichthyidae.